AACUUAAUGGUUCUAAUUAUCUGAAUUGGAGUAAGAUUGUUAGAGUUUAUUUGUGGAGUAUUGAUAAGGAUGAUCAUCUCACCAAGAUCCACCUACUGAUAAUACAAAGCAAACUUGAAUGAAGGAAGAUGCUCGUUUAUUCUUGCAAAUUAGAAAUUCCAUUAACAGUGAGGUAAUUAGCUUAAUUAAUCACUGUGAGUUUGUUAAAGAAUUGAUGGAUUAUUUAGAAUUCUUAUAUUCGGAUAAAGAAAAUAUCUCUCGUAUUUAUGAGUUAUGUAAUGCAUUUUAUCGUGCAGAGAAACAAGAUAGGUCCCUCACAUUCUAUUUUAUGGAUUUUAAAAGAAUCUAUGAGGAACAUAAUGUCUUAAUGCCGUUUAGUCCUGAUAUAAAAGUUCAGCAAGCUCAACAAGAAUAAAUGACUGUCGUGAGUUUUUUUGGCAAGUCUUCCCCCAGAGUUUGAGACUGCUAAAUCUCAAAUUCUUUCUGGUUCUGAAAUUUCUUCUCUGCAUGACACUUUCACUAGAGUACUUCAUACAGAAUCUUCCCAACCUCCCAAUCUGUUAACAGUGCUUUGGUUGGUCGCAAUGAUAGUGGGAGGCAAGGCCACAGAGGAGGGUUCAAUGGCAAUAGGGGUAAUCAGUGAAGUGGGAAAGUUGCCCAUAACUGUGACUCAGGGGGCAUUGUGUGCUAUUUUUGCCAUGAGCCAGGGCAUACAAAAAGAACAUGCCCAUAGCUUCAGAAUAAGAAUAAGCAAAUUCAAAUGGCGAAUAUGGUAGCCGAGGAGUCUACCAUAGCUCCUCCUUCUGAAAAAACUAUUUUAGUUUUAGCUGAAGAAUAUGCACAAUUCUCUCAGUAUCAGGCAUCACUAAAGCCCACUAAUUCACCAGCCGCUGCUAUUGCUGAGUCAAGUAAUUCCACUAUAUGCCUUGUGUCAUCUUCUUCAAAGUGGGUCAUUCAUUCUGGGGCUACAGACUACAUGACAGGUAACGCUAGUCUUUUGUCUCAAUUUCAACUUCAUUACUCGUUUUCUUCUGUCACUUUAGCUGAUAGGUCCAAAACUUGUAUCAUGAGUACUGGUGUAGCCAAUAAAUCAACCUCAAUCUCUGUCUUCAGUUUUAUGCUUAUCUAAAUUUGCUUUUAAUUUACUCUCUGUUAGUCAACUUACUCGUACCCUCAAUUGUUGUGUCUCAUUUUUUCUCAAUCAUUGUCUCUUUCAGGAUCUUAUGACGAAACAGAUUUUUGGUAAAGGGUAUAAGUCUAGGUGCCUGUACAUCAUUGACAAGCAGGUGCUGGGAUCUUUUGUGUGCUCCAGUGCCUUAAGUCCUCUCGAAGUUCAUUGUCGGUUAGGUCAUCCUUCCCUAUCUGUCAUGAAGAAGCUAUAUCCACAGUUUUAGUCUUUGUCAGUUUUAAAUUGUGAGUCAUGUCGAUUUGCCAAACACCAUCGUUUGCCUACAGUGUCUCUAGUCCAGAAACGAG
RNAcentral lists this unclassified non-coding RNA (1476 nucleotides) under Hevea brasiliensis (rubber tree). Lineage: Eukaryota; Viridiplantae; Streptophyta; Magnoliopsida; Malpighiales; Euphorbiaceae. The record is from RNAcentral.